GUCUAUGGCCAUACCACUCUGAACGCGCCCGAUCUCGUCUGAUCUUGGAAGCUAAGCGGGGUCGGGCCUGGUUAGUACUUAGAGGGGAGA
This 90-nucleotide ribosomal RNA is filed under the name Ailuropoda melanoleuca (giant panda). Lineage: Eukaryota; Metazoa; Chordata; Mammalia; Carnivora; Ursidae. The record is from RNAcentral.